RNAcentral lists this microRNA (21 nucleotides) under Echinococcus granulosus. RNAcentral's name for it is "egr-miR-3479a-5p". The record is from miRBase by way of RNAcentral. Lineage: Eukaryota; Metazoa; Platyhelminthes; Cestoda; Cyclophyllidea; Taeniidae.
CGGUGAAAGUUUAUGCAUUUA